This 111-nucleotide ribosomal RNA is filed under the name Salvator merianae (Argentine black and white tegu). The record is from RNAcentral. Lineage: Eukaryota; Metazoa; Chordata; Lepidosauria; Squamata; Teiidae.
UUCAGCAUUUAGGGUNGUUUUAGCUGAUCUUGUCUGAGCUUAGAAGCUAACCAAGGACAGCUUUGNGUAAUACUUGAAUGGAAAACUGCCUGGGAAUAUCAGGUGCUGGAG